UACAGGGGGUGCAAACGUUGCUCGGAAUCAUUGGGCGUAAAGCGCACGUAGGCGGUCUGUUAUGUCGGAUGUGAAAGCCCUUGGCUUAACUGAGGAAGUGCAUCCGAAACUGGCAGGCUAGAGUGUGGCAGAGGGGGGUGGAAUUCCACGUGUAGCAGUGAAAUGCGUAGAGAUGUGGAGGAACACCGAUGGCGAAGGCAGCCCCCUGGGUUAACACUGACGCUCAGGCACGAAAGCGUGGGGAGCAAACAGG
RNAcentral lists this ribosomal RNA (253 nucleotides) under uncultured bacterium. Its description in RNAcentral is "partial 16S ribosomal RNA". It matches the Rfam family "Bacterial small subunit ribosomal RNA", at positions 524 to 776 of the family's 1533-position model. The record is from RNAcentral.